This 1346-nucleotide ribosomal RNA is filed under the name uncultured bacterium. RNAcentral describes it as "bacterial SSU rRNA". It matches the Rfam family "Bacterial small subunit ribosomal RNA", at positions 28 to 1381 of the family's 1533-position model. The record is from RNAcentral.
GACGGACGCUGGCGGCAUGCUUAACACAUGCAAGUCGAACGGAAAGGCCCUGCUUUUGUGGGGUGCUCGAGUGGCGAACGGGUGAGUAACACGUGAGUAACCUGCCCUUGACUUUGGGAUAACUUCAGGAAACUGGGGCUAAUACCGGAUAGGAGCUCCUGCUGCAUGGUGGGGGUUGGAAAGUUUCGGCGGUUGGGGAUGGACUCGCGGCUUAUCAGCUUGUUGGUGGGGUAGUGGCUUACCAAGGCUUUGACGGGUAGCCGGCCUGAGAGGGUGACCGGCCACAUUGGGACUGAGAUACGGCCCAGACUCCUACGGGAGGCAGCAGUGGGGAAUAUUGCACAAUGGGCGGAAGCCUGAUGCAGCAACACCGCGUGCGGGAUGACAGCCUUCGGGUUGUAAACCGCUUUCGCCUGUGACGAAGCGUGAGUGACGGUAAUGGGUAAAGAAGCACCGGCUAACUACGUGCCAGCAGCCGCGGUGAUACGUAGGGUGCGAGCGUUGUCCGGAUUUAUUGGGCGUAAAGGGCUCGUAGGUGGUUGAUCGCGUCGGAAGUGUAAUCUUGGGGCUUAACCCUGAGCGUGCUUUCGAUACGGGUUGACUUGAGGAAGGUAGGGGAGAAUGGAAUUCCUGGUGGAGCGGUGGAAUGCGCAGAUAUCAGGAGGAACACCAGUGGCGAAGGCGGUUCUCUGGGCCUUUCCUGACGCUGAGGAGCGAAAGCGUGGGGAGCGAACAGGCUUAGAUACCCUGGUAGUCCACGCUGUAAACGGUGGGUACUAGGUGUGGGGUCCAUUCCACGGGUUCCGUGCCGUAGCUAACGCUUUAAGUACCCCGCCUGGGGAGUACGGCCGCAAGGCUAAAACUCAAAGGAAUUGACGGGGCCCCGCACAAGCGGCGGAGCAUGCGGAUUAAUUCGAUGCAACGCGUAGAACCUUACCUGGGUUUGACAUGGAUCGGGAGCGCUCAGAGAUGGGUGUGCCUCUUUUGGGGUCGGUUCACAGGUGGUGCAUGGCUGUCGUCAGCUCGUGUCGUGAGAUGUUGGGUUAAGUCCCGCAACGAGCGCAACCCUUGUUCACUGUUGCCAGCACGUUAUGGUGGGGACUCAGUGGAGACCGCCGGGGUCAACUCGGAGGAAGGUGGGGAUGACGUCAAGUCAUCAUGCCCCUUAUGUCCAGGGCUUCACGCAUGCUACAAUGGCUGGUACAGAGAGUGGCGAGCCUGUGAGGGUGAGCGAAUCUCGGAAAGCCGGUCUCAGUUCGGAUUGGGGUCUGCAACUCGACCUCAUGAAGUCGGAGUCGCUAGUAAUCGCAGAUCAGCAACGCUGCGGUGAAUACGUUCCCGGGGCU